This 586-nucleotide ribosomal RNA is filed under the name uncultured bacterium. RNAcentral describes it as "bacterial SSU rRNA". It matches the Rfam family "Bacterial small subunit ribosomal RNA", at positions 60 to 642 of the family's 1533-position model. The record is from RNAcentral.
AGUCGAGGGGUACGAUGUCUUCGGACAGGCGACGACCGGCGCACGGNCUGAGUAUCGCGUUUGUAACCUACCUUUAACUGGAGAAUAGCCCGAAGAAAUUCGGAUUAAUACUCCAUAACACUAUGAACUGGCAUCUUUUUAUAGUUAAAGCUCCGGCGGUUAAAGAUGGGCAUGCGUAACAUUAGAUAGUUGGUGAGGUAACGGCUCACCAAGUCUACGAUGUUUAGGGGGUCUGAGAGGAUGGUCCCCCACACUGGUACUGAGACACGGACCAGACUCCUACGGGAGGCAGCAGUGAGGAAUAUUGGUCAAUGGGCGAAAGCCUGAACCAGCCAUGCCGCGUGAAGGAUGACAGCGCUACGCGUUGUAAACUUCUUUUGUACAGGAAGAAACACUCUUACGUGUAAGAGCUUGACGGUACUGUACGAAUAAGCAUCGGCUAACUCCGUGCCAGCAGCCGCGGUAAUACGGAGGAUGCAAGCGUUAUCCGGAUUUAUUGGGUUUAAAGGGUACGUAGGCGGAAAAUUAAGUCAGUAGUGAAAUCCUGCAGCUUAACUGUAGAACUGGUUAUUGAUACUGGUUUUCU